GAUGAACGCUGGCGGCGUGCUUAACACAUGCAAGUCGAACGGAAAGGCCCAAGCUUGCUUUGGUACUCGAGUGGCGAACGGGUGAGUAACACGUGGGUGAUCUGCCCUUCACUUCGGGAUAAGCCUGGGAAACUGGGUCUAAUACUGGAUAGGACCACUUCUUGGAUGGUGUGGUGGUAAGAUUUUCCGGUGUGGGAUGAGCGCGCGGGCUAUCAGCUUGUUGGGGGGGUAUUGGCGUACCAAGGCGUCGACGGGUAGCCGGCCUGAGAGGGUGUACGGGCACAUUGGGACAGAGAUACGGGCCAGACUCCUACGGGGGGGAGAAAUGGGGAAAAUUGUACAAAGGGGGCGAGCCUGAUGCAGAGAAGCCGCGUGGGGGAGGAGGGCGUUCGCGGUGUAAACUCCUCUCGCUACGGAGGAAGAGUUUUUGUGACGGUACCUGGAGAAGAAGCACCGGCUAACUACGUG
RNAcentral lists this ribosomal RNA (468 nucleotides) under uncultured bacterium. RNAcentral's name for it is "partial 16S ribosomal RNA". It matches the Rfam family "Bacterial small subunit ribosomal RNA", at positions 28 to 507 of the family's 1533-position model. The record is from RNAcentral.